RNAcentral lists this long non-coding RNA (223 nucleotides) under Elaeis guineensis (African oil palm). RNAcentral describes it as "long non-coding RNA (EGUI_LNC042541)". Lineage: Eukaryota; Viridiplantae; Streptophyta; Magnoliopsida; Arecales; Arecaceae. The record is from RNAcentral.
GCAUAUGCUAUCAAUGUAACAGCUACUGUCACAUCAAUUGCACGAAGAAAUUAUAGCAAGGUAUAUCAACAUGCUUAAAUAUAUCUAUAUGAAAUUCAUAUCAAGACAUAUGAAAUAAAGCAUUGCUAUCACAUAGCAAACUACAAACCUAGGUGAUCAUAAAUCCUACACCUAAGCAUGAUUAUUUGAUUGAACAAACCAAGGGUGGCUUUGAUGCCACUGU